Podarcis lilfordi (Lilford's wall lizard) is the source of this 75-nucleotide non-coding RNA. Lineage: Eukaryota; Metazoa; Chordata; Lepidosauria; Squamata; Lacertidae. The record is from the annotation of a GenBank genome assembly.
GGAUAGCCUAGUCGGUAGAGCAUGAGACUCUUACUCUCAUGCUCAGGGUCAUGGGUUUGAGCCUCACGUUGGGCA